This 1839-nucleotide long non-coding RNA is filed under the name Mus musculus (house mouse). RNAcentral's name for it is "long non-coding RNA chr8:85841020-85842859". The record is from RNAcentral. Lineage: Eukaryota; Metazoa; Chordata; Mammalia; Rodentia; Muridae.
CUGUGCGAUGGCGGGGGCUGAGGGACUCAUGGCUGAAGUAAGCUGGAAGCUCUUGGAACGAAGAGCCCGGGCCAAGCGCUCAGGUUUGACUGCCUGUGACCACAACCUUCCCCCUCCUGGGUACAGGGGGUGGUGCUCCUCCGCAAGUCCCCUGGAGGGAGGCAGGUGGGAUCUGUCCUGGGGAUCAACUUGCUUCCUUAAGUUGGCUCCAGAAAGCAAUAGGUUUCUCUUGCUGCCCUGCUCUUGUCCAUCUUGGUCCCCAUUCCCCAAUCCCUGCACUUCCCCCAUUUAGAUAACGUCUGUCUUUCUCCCCCAAGUUAUUUCCUCUCCAAAGUUAGUGAUAAGCUGACUUCUCCAGAAACUUUGCCGAGUAAGUCAGCUAGUGACAAGUUCUUUGGAACCUGAACGCUCUUGCUCUGCAAAAAGUAGACCUCCAUUUUUAGUGAGGUCCUAAAGAGCUGGCGACUACUUUUGUCUCAUAUGCCCCCUUCACAUUCCUCAGUAAUUUUUAGCUGCAGCCAGUUCUGUGUGUCAGAAAUUGAGGAAGACGGUUUGUGCCACAAGUUAAGUUAGUGUACAGUUAUGACUCAGAAUGAAAUUGGCCCCUUCCCUAGCCAAAUGGUCCCACCACCUGUAGCUUCUAGUUGUGGUUCCCAACCACGGAGAUUAAAAAGCCAGCAGUCCGAGUGUCCUGAACUGACUUGUUCAAAUUGCAAAGUCACACUGGCGUUUUAAAAGUUAGUACUCCUGAUUAAUAACUUUCCAGAGAGCCAGCAGUGAAACUGCCACUUUUGAAAUUGGAUACAAUCUUGGGGGAAAAAAUGUGUCCUUAAACACGAGAGGUGGGGGACAAGAAAUGUUCAACCAAGAACCUUUCCCUUGUCAAAGAUUGACGAAAGAUUGUAGAAAAGUACUGUAUUUGUUAAAGUAUUGCCAAUUUCAUUCCAUUUGAAAUCUUAAAAUUUUUGUGUGUUUAUUUACUUAGGACUUAGGGUUGUAAUGGAACAAACACAUGAAAAGUAAGAGAAAUUUUUAGAAAGCAGUUGACUCAAGUUCAGAGUCAGUAGAAUUAUUUGAAACAGUUGUAGGGAUAUUUGUUGCUUAUAUUUUCUUUUAUUGUGUCAUAUAGAAAUUUUGAGUUGGUUAUUAACACUGUUGCUGUGGGAAUAGAAAAAGUGCUAUUAGGUUGUUCUGGGCAAAGAGAAUAACUAGUCUUUUGCCAGGGUCUUUAACCGUCCUCUCAACCCCCAACAUGUAUUUUUGCAACACAGUUUUGCAACAUAGUAAUCCUAUAGGGUCUAUUUUCUCUUCAAGUCUUUAUUUUACUCAAAUAUAUGUCACAACAGCAAGUGUUGAAAACCGUAUUUUUCUUAAUAGGGUAAAUUCUGCUUAACUAUUGUUGAAUGCAGUUUCUUAAACCUAGUCUCAGCCAUAGUAGAUACUAUCCAAAUUUACUGUAUGUUUACAUAAGAGUAAAGUGCAGAUAGAAGUGGAAAAAAAAAAAGAUAGUAGUUGAGGCAAAUCUUAGUAGUUAUGUUUGCAGUUUCUACUAUUUUUGAUUCCGAAAAAUACAGACACUAAACCUUGAGCCAUAUUAUUUACUUCCUGCUUAUUAUAAAGUGUUAACUUGAUUCUGUUUACAACUUUUAACUGUGUAAACAGCCUUGUUUGAAACAUGAAUUGACCUGUUUCUGGGACAGGCUCCUCUUUGGAGUUAUAAGCAUUGUUACAUAGUAGCAUUAACAACUUAAAGAACAAUAAAGGAUACUAUUAAUUGAAUGUGUCUUAGUAAGUGGAUAUUAUGUUUCUGUCUUUUCAUGUAUGCAAACUUAAUUUACC